Molecule: ribosomal RNA, 253 nt
Filed under: uncultured bacterium
Lineage: Bacteria
Description: partial 16S ribosomal RNA
Rfam family: Bacterial small subunit ribosomal RNA
Source: RNAcentral
UACGUAGGGUGCGAGCGUUAAUCGGAAUUACUGGGCGUAAGGCGUGCGCAGGCGGUGAUGUAAGACAGUUGUGAAAUCCCCGGGCUCAACCUGGGAACUGCAUCUGUGACUGCAUUGCUGGAGUGCGGCAGAGGGGGACGGAAUUCCGCGUGUAGCAGUGAAAUGCGUAGAUAUGCGGAGGAACACCGAUGGCGAAGGCAAUCCCCUGGGCCUGCACUGACGCUCAUGCACGAAAGCGUGGGGAGCAAACAGG